GAUUAAUGCCCCAUAGUAUAUAAACUUCGCAUGUUGUUUAUAUUAAAGUUCCAACGGUAAAAGAUGAGCAUGCGUCCCAUUAGUUAGUUGGUAAGGUAACGGCUUACCAAGACGAUGAUGGGUAGGGGUCCUGAGAGGGAGAUCCCCCACACUGGUACUGAGACACGGACCAGACUCCUACGGGAGGCAGCAGUGAGGAAUAUUGGACAAUGGGCGCAAGCCUGAUCCAGCCAUGCCGCGUGCAGGAAGAAGUAUCUAUGGUGCGUAAACUGCUUUUGUACAGGAAGAAACACUCCCUUUUUUGGGAGCUUGACGGUACUGUAAGAAUAAGGAUCGGCUAACUCCGCGCCAGCAGCCGCGGCAAUACGGAGGAUCCAAGCGUUAUCCGGAAUCAUUGGGUUUAAAGGGUCCGUAUGCGGGCUAAUAAG
RNAcentral lists this ribosomal RNA (428 nucleotides) under uncultured Bacteroidota bacterium. Its description in RNAcentral is "bacterial SSU rRNA". It matches the Rfam family "Bacterial small subunit ribosomal RNA", at positions 161 to 587 of the family's 1533-position model. Lineage: Bacteria; Pseudomonadati; Bacteroidota. The record is from RNAcentral.